GAGGAAUGCUGCUUGUUGCUGUGAUCGUAAACUCCUUCAUACCCCACAGGCUUGGGGGUUGGCUAGAAAAUAUUGGGUUAGAGCUGGGCAAAGAGGAAGCUGCUCAGGAUUGGAAGGUGGGAGAGAAGCAUCAGCCAUCACUCUCUGAGGUCGCCACAGUCAGAUGGAGUGACAGAUGAAGAGAUGCCUGGUGGGUCCCAGCUUGUCCUCGUUCUUCUCCCUUUGCCUCCAGCUCUUCUCCCUGGCUACCUACCCUGUUGGCCAAUGGCGGCUCAUGCUCAUCACCAGGCAUGUGGCUGCAGACACACGGAGGUGGGAGCCAUGCAGAGGCACCGGCUCUUCACAACCCUCUCUGCCAGCACCCGUUUCAGGGUCCUCCUUUGAUGUUGGGUGUGCUUGGCUUCUCCAAGUGACAGGUUAGUGCCUCCCCUGGGCCUCCAUCUGAUCUUCUGGACCUUUGCUUCCGCAGCUUCCCUCAAUUAUGCAAAUUCUAGGUCUGAUUCCUAGAAUAAAUACUGGAUCUCAAAGCACUCACAGGAUUCUGCUCCCCUGGCUGAACUCUGGUGGAAAUGAUGUCAUGUGACUUCGAAACUAGGCCUUAAGAGUCCUUGCAGUUUUCCCUGUCCUGAGGCCACAUCAUGCUGUGAAAAAACCCAACUUAGCAGAGGCUGAGAAGUUACACGGAGGAGAAUGGAAGAGCCCUGGUCAAUACACACAACUGUGAAAAAAAUAACUCACUGUAGACAUUUUUUUUAGGCUGAGAAAAUAUUUUUCUAUUAAUUGGUUGAUCUGUCAUUAUAUUCCAUUGCAUAGUCAGUGAUAAUAUACUAAGUAAAGUUUAGUGUAACCAUAUUAGAAUAAUCUAAAUUUGAAGAUAUUUAUUAGCUUUAUUAACUUAUACAAAAUAAAAUUCACUGCUUUUUUAUCGUGGUAAAAUAUAGACAACAUACAAUUAACCAUUUCAGCUACUUUUAGGUGUGCAGGUCAGUGGCAUUAGGUACAGUCACAUUGUUGUAUAAACAUCAUCACUAUCCACCUCCAGAACUUUUUCAUCAUUCCAGACAGAAACUCUGUAGCCAUUACACAACAAUUCCCCAUUCCCCCACCCCUUAGUGUAGGUUUUUUUUUCCCCAUUUUUUUUUGAGAAAGGGUCUCACUCUCUCACCUAGGCUGGAGUGCAGUGGCAGGAUCAUGCUCACUGUAACCUCCAACUCCUGGGUUCAAGUGAUCCUCCCACCUCAGCCUCCUGAGUAGCUAGGACUACAGACGUGUGCCACCAAGCCUAGCUUUUUAUUUUAUUUUUUGUAGAGAUGGGAAGGAGGCUGGCUAUGUUGCCCAGGUGCCCUCAGUGUAGUUUUAGGCCACUAAAUUUUGGGGUACGUUGUUACACAGCCGUAGAUAACUGAACAUUCAUACUUGGUGAGGUCAUAUGCUCUAAUUUUCUAGUUUAAAAAAUAGUUUCUCAGGCAAAACUAUGGAGAUGGUAAAAAGAUUUGUGUUUGC
This 1503-nucleotide long non-coding RNA is filed under the name Homo sapiens (human). RNAcentral describes it as "HSALNT0005006". Lineage: Eukaryota; Metazoa; Chordata; Mammalia; Primates; Hominidae. The record is from RNAcentral.